Molecule: unclassified non-coding RNA, 367 nt
Filed under: Hevea brasiliensis (rubber tree)
Lineage: Eukaryota; Viridiplantae; Streptophyta; Magnoliopsida; Malpighiales; Euphorbiaceae
Source: RNAcentral
CAAAUAACAAGUAACCCAAAGUAUACAUGCAACAACCAAUAUAUUUACCAGGUCAAGCCUCGUAAACAAUAAUAUCCGUCAAAAGGAUACACUGACCAAAUAAACAACAAUAAAUUCUCAUCAGAAAUUUAGCAUAGAACAGCCAGUGUUAUCACUCAUAUAGGCACAUAGAAGCGAGAAGGAAAGAGAGGAUACAAUUGCCACAUCAAACAAGUUGGGAUUGAGAGCCAAACCCAAAAUGAAAAUGACAAUUCAAAUAUGCACUUUGCAGAUGGAUUUAAUUCUACAAAAAACUUUGGUAGAAAUUAGAUAAUAUGGUCAGUAAGCGUUUCAUCUAGUGCGCCAAUUUCUUAAGGUGUUGAAAUGU